This 253-nucleotide ribosomal RNA is filed under the name uncultured bacterium. Its description in RNAcentral is "partial 16S ribosomal RNA". It matches the Rfam family "Bacterial small subunit ribosomal RNA", at positions 524 to 776 of the family's 1533-position model. The record is from RNAcentral.
UACGUAGGGGGCAAGCGUUGUCCGGAUUUAUUGGGCGUAAAGAGCGUGUAGGCGGUCAGGUAGGUCCGUUGUGAAAACUCGAGGCUCAACCUCGAGACGCCGAUGGAAACCAUCUGACUAGAGUCCGGGAGAGGAGAGUGGAAUUCCUGGUGUAGCGGUGAAAUGCGCAGAUAUCAGGAAGAACACCCGUGGCUAAGGCGGCUCUCUAGUACGGUACUGACGCUGAGACGCGAAAGCGUGGGGAGCGAACAGG